GAUGAAGAACGCAGCGAAAUGCGAUAAGUAAUGCGAAUUGCAGAAUCCGUGAGUCAUCGAAUCUUUGAACGCACAUUGCGCCCCUUGGUUAUUCCGAAGGGCAUGCCUGUUCGAGCGUCAUUAUCACCCCUCAAGCCCUGGCUUGGUGUUGGACUUUAGUUAUAGCUUUGCCUAUCAACUGGUCUCAAAGAUAGUGACGGCGCCCCAGAGGGAUCCGGGUACGAGGAGCUUUUUACUAAGCAUGUAUCUGGGACGACUCUGAUGGGCGACGGUCUUGUUAUACUUUUUACCUAAGUGUUGACCUCGGAUCAGGUAGGAAUACCCGCUGAACUUAAGCAUAUCAAUAAGCGGAGGA
This 355-nucleotide unclassified non-coding RNA is filed under the name soil metagenome. Its description in RNAcentral is "partial contains 5.8S ribosomal RNA, internal transcribed spacer 2, and large subunit ribosomal RNA". The stretch from base 1 to 120 matches the Rfam family "5.8S ribosomal RNA", at positions 35 to 154 of the family's 154-position model. The record is from RNAcentral.